CCCAAACUAACUCUAAGUUUCUACCUCAUAUACUCUACACACACCCCACUUAUUUUUUACAAUAUGCAGAAGACCCCCGUCAGAUUUUUUAGUUCUCCAAACCCUAAAAAACCACUCAUUUUCCAUCUCUCUAAUCUAGAGAAGACAGCCGCUUGCCAUAAGGGGAAUAUCUCUCAUUUUUGAGAGAUUCCAGCCUCUCUUCGCCCCUCCACGUUGCCUCCCACCGCGUUUGAUCGCCAGCGAUGGCUGUCAAAGUCCCGUCGUCCCUCUCUCUCUAGCUCAAAACCUAGUCGUUUUAUUUGUUGGUUGAGUUUUUACCGGAAAAGGCUUAACUCCGGCGACCUCAUUCGUCUUUAGAUCUAGUGUUUAUCGUUUGAUGCUAUGUCCUCGAUUGUUUGAGCCUUAAAUUUGUUGGUUUUCUUGAUGCUCGCCAGAAGUCUUCAGAUCUGAUCGGAACUUGACAUUUUCGGCGAUCUUUUACUAUCCUGGAAUGGCUUUCUCAUUUCGUUGCUACUGUUUUAUUUCAUUUUAUUUCAUGUUUUGGAGUUUGGUAUGUUAAUAGUGGUUGCUGGCGAUGUGUUCAGGCCGGACUUAUGCUUUUACGGCGACCACCAUUGAAACCGGUGAACCUUUCAUCGUCGCACUUAGGUUGUACUAUUUCAGUCUUCUUAACAUUUCCCUAUGACUGUUUGUGUGCGUUUGGUUGUGAUAACACUUUGUUACUAUUGUUUUGUUACUGGGAUCCGCUUUAAGGUCGAUGUUUCAGCUGGUUUAAGACUCUUUGUAGCCCUCUAUGGCUUACUGUUGCUUGCCAUUAUGAUCCAAAAUGGAUACCAUUUUGUUGGCUAGAAAUGUUUGCCAUUGAUGCUGCCCAUUUUGAUUAACUGUGGGUUUGGCAAUAUGUUCCGACGAUUAAUCUCGCUUAUUUAUUCACUUUGUUACAUUACUGACGGUCCUUUCUUUCGAAAAAGGGGACAAUGUUGCACUUGUCGGAGGUUACGAAUUGAGUAAAUUUAAUAUGAAUAGGGGUUGAUGAGAAUUAUAUUUUGAGGCCACGACGUCCCGAAUGACCUUCGGAUUGGGCCCGAAAUAAUAAGAUGAUGAUGAUAAACAUUGAAAAAUAGUAGAGGAGGACGCGAUGAACCAACAACCUAUGGAAGGUGACACGGUUGGCCACCAAAGUCGCUAUCGAGGCGGUGUUCGUUCUCAUGUCUAGACGGAUAACGGAAAAAACGUAUCUGAGCCUCCUAUUGUCAAAAUCUAAUUUUUCCGAUAAGCCGUGAUGGCGUCCAACGUCGCCGUUAGGCAAACCAACGUUGAAUUAGCCAUGUAAUAGUUCUUUUUAAUAAUUUCAAAGUAAUUAAAUUUUUAUUUAUUAAGAAAAUAAGAAGAUGAAAAAUUUAAUAAAGUAAGCGUAAGCUCAUAAAGGAACAAGCACAAUGAUAUAAAUACCUAAAAAAAACCAUUAAAUGUUUACUAGAAUAUUUCCAAGAUCCGGUGUCACAAAUGUAUGAGAAACUAGUAGAAUAUACAAA
RNAcentral lists this long non-coding RNA (1535 nucleotides) under Nicotiana tabacum (common tobacco). RNAcentral describes it as "long non-coding RNA (NTAB_LNC000847)". Lineage: Eukaryota; Viridiplantae; Streptophyta; Magnoliopsida; Solanales; Solanaceae. The record is from RNAcentral.